Molecule: ribosomal RNA, 263 nt
Filed under: uncultured bacterium
Lineage: Bacteria
Description: partial 16S ribosomal RNA
Rfam family: Bacterial small subunit ribosomal RNA
Source: RNAcentral
AGUGGCGGACGGGUGAGUAACGCGUGGGUAACCUGCCUCAGUACAGGGGGAUAACAGUUAGAAAUGACUGCUAAUACCGCAUAAGCGCACGGUUUCGCAUGGAAACAGUGUGAAAAACUCCGGUGGUAUGGGAUGGACCCGCGUCUGAUUAGCUGGUUGGCGGGGUAACGGCCCACCAAGGCGACGAUCAGUAGCCGGCCUGAGAGGGUGAACCGGCCACAUUGGGACUGAGACACGGCCCAAACUCCUACGGGAGGCAGCAG